This 150-nucleotide transfer RNA is filed under the name Marmota monax (woodchuck). RNAcentral's name for it is "tRNA.Leu". Lineage: Eukaryota; Metazoa; Chordata; Mammalia; Rodentia; Sciuridae. The record is from RNAcentral.
GGUUGUAGCUCAGUGGUAGAGCACUUGCAAUAAAUAAAUAAAGAUAUUGUGUCCAUGUUCAACUAAGAAUUUUUUUUAAAAAAAGUUAAAAUUAAAGGACUGAGGAUUUAACUCAGUGGUAGAGUGUCCUGGGUUCAAUCCCCAGGACUG